UACGUAGGUGGCAAGCGUUAUCCGGAAUCACUGGGCUUAAAGCGUGCGUAGGCGGAUGUGCAGGCGUCGUGUGAAAGCCCUCGGCUCAACCGGGGAAUUGCACGGCGAACCGCACGUCUCGAGACAAGUAGGGGCGGUCGGAACGAUAGGUGGAGUGGUGAAAUGCGUUGAUAUCUAUCGGAACGCCAAAGGUGAAGACAGGCCGCUGGGCUUGUUCUGACGCUGAUGCACGAAAGCGUGGGGAGCAAACGGG
Molecule: ribosomal RNA, 253 nt
Filed under: uncultured bacterium
Lineage: Bacteria
Description: partial 16S ribosomal RNA
Rfam family: Bacterial small subunit ribosomal RNA
Source: RNAcentral